This 338-nucleotide unclassified non-coding RNA is filed under the name soil metagenome. Its description in RNAcentral is "partial contains 5.8S ribosomal RNA, internal transcribed spacer 2, and large subunit ribosomal RNA". The stretch from base 1 to 120 matches the Rfam family "5.8S ribosomal RNA", at positions 35 to 154 of the family's 154-position model. The record is from RNAcentral.
GAUGAAGAACGUAGCGAAAUGCGAUAAGUAGUGUGAAUUGCAGAAUUCAGUGAAUCAUCGAAUCUUUGAACGCACAUUGCGCCCCUUGGUAUUCCAUGGGGCAUGCCUGUUCGAGCGUCAUUUGUACCUUCAAGCUCUGCUUGGUGUUGGGUGUUUGUCUCGCCUUUGCGUGUAGACUCGCCUCAAAACAAUUGGCAGCCGGCGUAUUGAUUUCGGAGCGCAGUACAUCUCGCGCUUUGCACUCAUAACGACGACGUCCAAAAAGUACAUUUUUACACUCUUGACCUCGGAUCAGGUAGGGAUACCCGCUGAACUUAAGCAUAUCAAUAAUCGGAGGA